RNAcentral lists this long non-coding RNA (227 nucleotides) under Lathyrus oleraceus (garden pea). RNAcentral describes it as "Pisum sativum (pea) long non-coding RNA (PSAT_LNC028926)". Lineage: Eukaryota; Viridiplantae; Streptophyta; Magnoliopsida; Fabales; Fabaceae. The record is from RNAcentral.
GGGAGAUGAGAGAAACACAAAUUGGUCAUGGGAGGAAUUUUAUCAAAUUAAAAUCAUUCAUUCAUUUUGGGAGAUGAAAUAUACAUUUCAUCAAUCCCCUAAAUCCAAGAGGGAGGGGAGAUGAGAGAAACACAAAUUGGUCAUGGGAGGAAUUUUAUCAAAUUAAAAUCAUUCAUUCAUUUUGGGAGAUGAAAUAUACAUUUCAUCAAUCCCCUAAAUCCAAUGAU